AACGACUCUCGGCAACGGAUAUCUCGGCUCUCGCAUCGAUGAARAACGUAGCGAAAUGCGAUACUUGGUGUGAAUUGCARAAUCCCGUGAACCAUCGAGUCUUUGAACGCAAGUUGCGCCCGAAGCCAUCAGGCCRAAGGCACGUCUGGCUGGGUGUCACGCAACG
This 166-nucleotide ribosomal RNA is filed under the name Gilletiodendron pierreanum. RNAcentral describes it as "5.8S ribosomal RNA". It matches the Rfam family "5.8S ribosomal RNA". From Rfam's summary of the family: 5.8S ribosomal RNA (5.8S rRNA) is a component of the large subunit of the eukaryotic ribosome. It is transcribed by RNA polymerase I as part of the 45S precursor that also contains 18S and 28S rRNA. The record is from RNAcentral. Lineage: Eukaryota; Viridiplantae; Streptophyta; Magnoliopsida; Fabales; Fabaceae.